This is a long non-coding RNA of Aedes albopictus (Asian tiger mosquito), 654 nucleotides long. RefSeq lists it as uncharacterized. The transcript is spliced from 3 exons. NCBI's taxonomy places the organism in Eukaryota, Metazoa, Arthropoda, Insecta, Diptera, Culicidae. The record is from RefSeq and is a predicted model, not a curated record.
GCAAAUUUUCAAUAUGUCCUAAGUAACAUUUUGAUUUUAUCGAGAAAAUCCAAUUCCAAGUUUGGGGAUUCAUUUUCAAUUCCUAUUUAUCCAUCAAACCGAAAAUCAUAUAAUGAAUACGCGCAAACGACAUCAGAUAACAGCAUUUUGUGUUUCCUAAUUAAAGAUUUGGUUUAAGUUUAAAAUAACAUUAGUUUUUUGCAUUAAAAUAGUUUUACGUCGUUUGGUGUCAGAAUACAUAAAUAAGACAUUUUGUUAAGUCAUUCUGAAGCCUCUCUGUUACUUUCGUCGGGUGCGUUACGUCGCGUUACGCGAAUUUAUGUUGCUUUCGUCGGUGUGUUUACGUCAUGUAGCCAGCUGUCAUGUUAGUUAAGACAUGUUACUUACGUCGUUGUGAUGUUUAUGUUGUGUGAAAAUUGGCACUUAAGCCAAACGGAUUCCUCUUGAAAUGAAGCAAGUGCUUCCCACGCAGGAAUGGUACCAGCAACAAAUUGAAUUGUAAAGCCUAGCGGCAAUAAUAGACAUCAAUGAAGGGAACAAAGUAAGGACAAUCUUAUUUCGGAAAUCGGUUCAUCAUGUGCAAGUCGGCGUUUAUUCAAAAAUACUCAGCUGCAGGACGUCGCCGAGCACUGCUACACCGUGCAGAGCAUAGUG